UCUACUUCAGGUGACUACUGAGCAGCACUCUCAGCUGGAGUGGAGAACUUCAGAGCUGAAUCCAGGACUGUAAACAAGACUGCAUUCCCAAGGGCACCAUCUGAUCUGGAAGAUGGAACUACUGUAUAGUGUUUGGAAAAAGUGCAAGCAGUCACUAUUCCUGCAAACCAUUGAGAAGCCCCAUCUUGAGGUGAAAACCUCCUAGGUUGGGGUGAAGAACCUGAACAGUCUCUUGAGAAAACAGAUGAGAAAUUGCCACAAGGUUGAUUGCAGAUAGCUAGGUGAAUCAGACUUUCCAUUUUCCUCAGUCUUAGUCAUUGUUCCAGUCAAGACCUAAAGUGGAGGAUAAAAUAUUCAGAAACCACAUUAAAAAGGUCUGAGAGACUGAGAUGAACUGUCUGAAAAAUUAGAAGAAAAUCUCGUCAAAAGAAACAGGAGAGUAAUGGCUUAACAGUUGCUUGGCCUGGGCAUGUGAGGGAAGUUACCAUUUACCUGUUUUACUACUAGAAGACCCUGUCCUGCAAACGCUACCUACCAAGUAUUUUUAAACUAUCAUGAGCAGGCCACUUCAGCCAAUGGGAUCACUCCUGGGAGAAAACACUAUGCUAGUCAGGAAAUGGUUGCAGAACUACCAGGGAAAUUUACAACAGGCAACAACAAAAAUCCCUACUGGUUUUAACACCUGGUAUAGAGGAGCCUAUUUUUAUCACCAUUUUAGUUACAGCAGCUGGAAAGCAACAUGGUGGUAAAAAAA
Mauremys mutica (yellowpond turtle) is the source of this 754-nucleotide long non-coding RNA. RefSeq lists it as uncharacterized. The record is from RefSeq and is a predicted model, not a curated record. The transcript has 3 exons. Lineage: Eukaryota; Metazoa; Chordata; Testudines; Geoemydidae.